UACGUAGGGGGCGAGCGUUGUCCGGAAUGACUGGGCGUAAAGGGCGUGUAGGCGGUCAUUUAAGUCUGGAGUGAAAGUCCUGCAUUCAAUGUGGGAAUAGCUUUGGAUACUGGAUGACUUGAGUGCGGAAGAGGUAAGUGGAAUUCCCAGUGUAGCGGUGAAAUGCGUAGAGAUUGGGAGGAACACCAGUGGCGAAGGCGACUUACUGGGCCGUAACUGACGCUGAGGCGCGAAAGCGUGGGGAG
RNAcentral lists this ribosomal RNA (245 nucleotides) under uncultured Eubacteriales bacterium. Its description in RNAcentral is "uncultured Clostridiales bacterium partial 16S ribosomal RNA". It matches the Rfam family "Bacterial small subunit ribosomal RNA", at positions 524 to 768 of the family's 1533-position model. The record is from RNAcentral. Lineage: Bacteria; Bacillati; Bacillota; Clostridia; Eubacteriales.